RNAcentral lists this ribosomal RNA (1513 nucleotides) under metagenome. RNAcentral describes it as "bacterial SSU rRNA". It matches the Rfam family "Bacterial small subunit ribosomal RNA". The record is from RNAcentral.
AGAAUUUGAUCUUGGUUCAGAUUGAACGCUGGCGGCGUGGAUGAGGCAUGCAAGUCGAACGAGAAACUUUUAAGCUUGCUUAAAGGUUUCUAGUGGCGAAAGGGUUAGUAAUACAUGGGUAAUCUACUUCUAACUUGGGAAUAACGAUUGGAAACGAUCGCUAAUACCGAAUGUCGUGAAGGGAAGACAUCUUCCUUUUAUGAAAGCGGGGGACCGUAAGGCCUCGCGGUUGGAAAAGAGCCCAUGCGAUAUCAGCUUGUUGGUGAGGUAAAAGCUCACCAAGGCUAAGACGUCUAGGCGGGUUGAGAGAUUGACCGCCAACACUGGGACUGAGACACUGCCCAGACUCCUACGGGAGGCUGCAGUCGAGAAUCAUUCGCAAUGGGCGAAAGCCUGACGAUGCGACGCCGCGUGAGCGAAGAAGGCCUUUGGGUUGUAAAGCUCUUUCGCCUGGGAACAAGAGAUACGGAGUAAUAUUCCGUAAAUUUGAGGGUACCAGGUAAAGAAGCGCCGGCUAACUCCGUGCCAGCAGCUGCGGUAAUACGGAGGGCGCAAGCGUUAAUCGGAUUCAUUGGGCGUAAAGGGGGCGUAGACGGGGUUGUAAGUCGGAUGUGAAAGCCUGUAGCUUAACUACAGAAUUGCAUCCGAAACUACUUCUCUUGAGGGUAGGCGGAGAAAACGGAAUUCCAUGUGUAGCGGUGAAAUGCGUAGAUAUAUGGAGGAACACCCGUGGCGAAAGCAGUUUUCUAGCUUACUCCUGACGUUGAGGCCCGAAGGCUAGGGGAGCAAACAGGAUUAGAUACCCUGGUAGUCCUAGCAGUAAACGAUGCAUACUUGGUGUAGAUGGUUUCAAUCCCAUUUGUGCCGUAGCUAACGCGUUAAGUAUGCCGCCUGAGGAGUACGCUCGCAAGGGUGAAACUCAAAAGAAUUGACGGGGACCCGCACAAGCAGUGGAGCAUGUGGUUUAAUUCGAUGCAACGCGAAGAACCUUACCCAGGCUUGACAUACAGUGGACCGCUUCAGAGAUGAAGCUUUCUUAUGACCGCUGUACAGGUGCUGCAUGGCUGUCGUCAGCUCGUGCCGUGAGGUGUUGGGUUAAGUCCCGCAACGAGCGCAACCCUUAUCGUUAGUUGCCAACAGGUAAUGCUGGGAACUCUGACGAGACUGCCUAGGUUAACUAGGAGGAAGGUGAGGAUGACGUCAUGUCAGCAUGGCCCUUAUGUCUGGGGCUACACACGUGCUACAAUGGCUGGUACAAUAGGCAGCGAAGCCGCGAGGUGGAGCAAAUCCAAAAACCAGUCUUAGUUCGGAUUGGAGUCUGCAACUCGACUCCAUGAAGCCGGAAUUGCUAGUAAUGGCGCGUCAGCAAUAGCGCCGUGAAUACGUUCCCGGGUCUUGUACACACCGCCCGUCACAUCAUGGAAGUUGGUUUUACCCGAAGUCACUUACUCGACCGUAAGGAGAGAGGUGCCGAAGGUAAGGCUGAUGACUGGGAUGAAGUCGGAACAAGGUA